GGAGGCAGAGGGAGGGAGGGAAGGAGGGAAGGAAGGAAGCUGGGAAGAAGCGAGCGAGCGGGGGCGCGAGGCGUUUACCUGGAGGCAGCGGCUUGGGCGCGCAGAGCGGCCGCGGCUCCCCCGCACCUGCGGCCAUGGAUGAGGAGCGCGCCCUCUACAUCGUCCGGGCCGGCGAGGCGGGGGCUAUCGAGCGGGUCCUGAGGGAUUACAGCGAUAAGCAUAGGGCUACUUUCAAAUUUGAAUCAACAGAUGAAGAUAAAAGAAAGAAACUCUGCGAAGGCAUAUUUAAAGUCCUUUUAAAGGACAUCCCAACAACAUGUCAAGUGUCCUGCCUGGAAGUUCUCCGCAUUCUCUCCAGAGACAAAAAGGUUUUAGUUCCUGUAACAACCAAGGAAAAUAUGCAGAUACUGCUGCGACUAGCCAAGCUAAAUGAGUCGGAUGAUUCUUUGGAGAAGGUGUCAGAGUUCCCAGUUAUUGUGGAGUCAUUAAAAUGUCUUUGUAACAUAGUGUUCAACAGUCAGAUGGCACAGCAGCUCAGUCUGGAACUUAACCUUGCUGCAAAGCUCUGUAACCUCCUGAGAAAGUGCAAGGACCGAAAGUUUAUCAAUGACAUUAAGUGCUUUGACUUGCGCUUGCUCUUCGUCCUGUCACUUUUGCACACCGACAUCAGGUCACAAUUGCGCUAUGAGCUCCAAGGACUACCGCUGCUAACCCAGAUCUUGGAAAGUGCCUUUAGCAUCAAGUGGACCGAUGAAUAUGAAUCGGCCAUAGACCAUAAUGGACCUCCUCUCUCACCUCAGGAGACAGACUGUGCCAUUGAGGCCCUUAAAGCUCUCUUCAAUGUGACAGUAGACAGUUGGAAGGUGCAUAAAGAGAGUGAGUCUCAUCAGUUCCGCGUCAUGGCAGCUGUCCUUCGCCAUUGUUUACUAAUCGUAGGUCCAACUGAAGACAAAACAGAAGAGCUACACAGCAAUGCAGUCAACCUUUUAAGCAAUGUUCCGGUCUCUUGUUUGGAUGUUCUCAUUUGUCCAUUAACCCAUGAAGAAACAGCCCAAGAAGCAACGACUCUAGAUGAACUGCCCAGUGAUAAAACAGCUGAGAAAGAAACAGUUUUGAAAAGCAAUACCAUGGUAUACAAUGGUAUGAAUAUGGAAGCCAUUCAUGUCUUACUCAAUUUUAUGGAGAAGAGAAUAGACAAGGGAAGCAGCUAUAGAGAGGGUCUCACUCCAGUUCUCAGCUUGUUAACAGAAUGUUCCCGAGCCCAUCGAAACAUCAGAAAAUUUCUCAAAGAUCAGGUUUUACCACCAUUGAGGGAUGUGACAAAUCGACCUGAAGUUGGCUCAACUGUGAGAAAUAAGCUGGUGCGCCUCAUGACACAUGUUGACCUGGGAGUCAAGCAAAUUGCUGCUGAAUUCCUUUUUGUCCUUUGCAAAGAGAGAGUGGAUAGUCUCCUGAAAUACACUGGCUAUGGGAAUGCUGCAGGACUGCUGGCGGCCAGGGGCCUCUUGGCUGGAGGAAGAGGAGAUAAUUGGUACUCAGAGGACGAGGACACAGACACUGAAGAAUACAAAAAUGCAAAACCAAACAUUAAUCUUAUCACUGGUCAUUUAGAGGAACCAAUGCCAAACCCCAUAGAUGAAAUGACAGAAGAACAAAAAGAAUAUGAAGCCAUGAAACUUGUCAACAUGCUUGAUAAACUUUCCAGGAGAGCAGAUGUGAAGGACCUGCACCAGGAUGGUGGUUAGCAACAGUGGCCCGUGCCAAAGCACUUACCAAAGUGAUGACUAAGGUUGGUCAUGCCAAGUACUAUUACUGAGCCUGGUGUAGGGUACAGAUGUUAUUUACCACCAAAACUGUAAAAACCACCAGUGCAAAAAUUUAAAUUACAUUCCCAUUUUGCCUCCAGGCUGGACAUAGCCACUGCCUCAAGUUGCUCACCACCUUAGCAACUUUAUCUAAGCUAGAUUUUUAAGGAUCCUGGAGAGAUCAGUGCUGAAACAUUUUUUUCCCAUUGAAUACCAACGGACAGUGGUAUUCCAUGUGAUUUUUCUUUUUUUAGUAUAAGGAUUCUGUUUGUGACAGAUGUAGGUAAGGGGAUUGGCAGUGGACCUGGAGGUCUUAAGAGUUUGAGAAUAAUAUAAACCCUAUAAAUCCCAUCAUGUCUAACUAGUACAGUGCCUUGUACCCUGUGAUUUUCCCAGUGUGUUUGAUGAAAUGUCAAAGCUGAUCCCCAAAUCAAAGGUUAAUUUUUUUGCUCAAUAAAAUAGCCUACAUGGUUUAAAGACUUUAAAGUAUACUUUUGUCAGUUCAGUUACUUGGCCAGAUGUCAUAAAAUUUAGGUCUGGAAAGGAAUUCUGUAAAGUACUUUGGUCCAUGAGUGGCUAAUUUAAAUAAUGGGGUGCCUAAUUUCUUUAAUAUAGAAUGAUAAUUGUAAUAUUUAUCAGACAUAAGCAUUAAGGCCUGAGGCAUGGAGAUUAUAGAAAGCUUCAUUUGACAUUUUUAAUGUGAGAACAGAGGUGGGAAGGAGGAUGAAAUUGGCCUGCCUCUCCACCUCUUCUUUCCUUUUUUGAACUGGAAAAAAUAUAAGUCCCUGCAACUUAAGUGGGAGAUUAGAAUUCGGAUUGUAUGUGGUUAAGCAAGUCCAGUGUGGCUAAUACAAUUGCAUUCACCUUAGCUACCGCACACAAUUUGCAUAUAACAGCACAGCCUCCUCCAGAAGAGGGGAGAGAGGAUUGACUGACUUAAGCCUAAACUAACCAAGGGAAGUAAUAUUUCAAGUUUUGUUUUGACUUUUCUAAUCUCCCUUAGUUUCUUAAUUGGAACAGGACUGAUUAAUCUUCUACUCCACACUUAGCCCAUCACUGUUUAACAAGGUACAUUGCCUUUUUGCUUAUAAAUUAUAUCAAAAUCUUCUAAAAUUUACAUCUAUAUAAAUAAUUGUUUUCCAUUUCUUCCCUUUCUUAUCUACUCCUUGUCUAAUAUAUUUUUGCCAGCCAUUGUGUAGUAUUGGUGGGAUAUGGCUUUCUUAAUAAAUGCAAGUACCAAAUAUAGAAAUAGUUCCCCUUAAGUCUCCAAAUAUUAUUUUUAAGCUUAGUAAAGCUGGGACAGGUAGUUUAUGACUGAAAGUAAUAACUAUAUAAUUUUUUCCUUAUAACUAAAUUUCUUGACCCUGCUUAUAAAAAUAACAACUGUGAUUACUCCCACCUUGAUGAGUUAAUCAAGGAAAUGCUUUGUAGGUACAUUUUAGAAAUAUGAUCCUGUAUUUAUAGCAUUGUAAGAUCUAUUGUGGGUAUGAAAGUGUAAGGAUCUUAAUUGCUUACAUCAGAAAAUCCUUUAGAUCUGCACUGUCCAAUAUGGUAACCACUAAUCAUAUAUGACUAUGGCUAGUCUGAAUUGGGAUGUCUUCUGAGUGUUAAAGUACUCAGACAUUCAAAGACUCAGUACAAAAAGAGAAUAUAAAAUACCUCAAUUGUUUAUUAUGAAUUUAUGUUGAAAUAAUAUUUUUGAUAUAUUAAGUUAAGCAAAUUAUUUUAAAACUAAUCUUACCUAUCUUUUCUCACUUUUUUGAUGUGGCUUCUAGAACAUUUAAGAUUACAUAUAUAUGGCUUACAUUAUGUUUCUGUUAGACAGCACUGUUCUACCCCAUUAAAAAUACACUGCAAGUUUGCUUAGAAGCUAAUUAAAGGAACUUGGAUCCAGUUAAACUAAUAUACCCUUACAGUGGUAAAGAAGAAAUAUGAUAUUGUUCAUCUUUAGGUUAAAGAGGGCCUUUCCACUGGCUGGACACCUCUAAGUAGGAUGUCAUGCAAUCUUUGUAUUGCUCAUUAGUAGUCAUUGUCCCUUAACUCUGUAGUAGGAAUGCCUAUGAGCUCUUGAUUUAAGCACUAGCCAAAAUGACUUUUGUUUAUUAGAGAAACAUUAAAUAAGAAUAAUCUCCAUUGACUACUUGCUCUUAGUCACCCUCCUCCUUUAAGUCUUUCUAAUCGAGAAGAGCAUGUCAGAACUUCCAUUUCUACUGCUUUAUUCAACACUGUCAGUUGGCAUGCUGACCUCUUAUUAAUAUUUAUUUUGCUAAUUUUGGACAACAAGAUAGAAAGGUCUGUAGAGAAAUUACCAAGAAAUAAAGAUCACCUUCACUUAAGGGUCAGACUCAGUUUUAUUUUUCUAACACUAUCCCUAACCUCUUUCUCUAUAUUUUCUUAACUAUACUCUUUAAUGUGAGGUGGAUAGCACAUUUUUAGAAGCUUUGCAUGUGAUCUUCUAACAGAAAUGAAAAUAAUAAAAGACUAAUAUUUUGUAUAUUGCUUUUAAGUUUGAAAACAGCCUUGUGAAUUAGAUAGGGUAAGAGAUAUUUUAUUGAGGCAUAAAUGGGACCAGUGAUUAAGUAUCUAAACCAAGAUCAGGCAUCUUGUUAAUAACAGUCAGGAUUUGGUUCUUAGACUUCAGACUCCAAAUCUUAAAUGUUAUUUUAAAAAAUUACCAACAUACAGCUCUCAAAUUUAUCAGUCUGAUUAUCUUUAUUUAGUAAGAUGCUCUAAAUUUUAAAUAGAUUCAAAGGACAAAGACUGAUAGUAAGCAUAUUUACCUGAGAAGAAAAUUAAGAUUUGGAAGCCAUUCCUGCUUUUUCAUUCCAUAAUUGAGCUUUCCUCAAAUAUCAAGUCAGGUCCUAAACAGCUUAUAUCAAAAACAAAAACAGCUUCAUAUGAAGGAAGCCAGUAAAAUUGCUAUAAUUCUAUGUUAAUAUAAAAUAUUUUAAUUAUUUUGAAAAGAGAAUAGAUAUUCUGAUAGAUUCUUAUAUUCAGUGUGAUCAUAUGAAGAAAAUUAACUUUAGAAAGGCUUCCCUAUUUACAAGGCUGUUGCCUGUUUAUUCAACUCCCAAAGUGGAAGGACAUGCAUGGUGUGGACAAUGUACCAUAUCCAUUUCUCUUGGGAAUGAUAUUUUUAUGUUAUAUAUUUUAACUUCCCAACUGUACCCAAUCCCAAAGCAUGACAGUGAGGCUGAGGGAAGGGUCUCAGAAAUGUUUUUGAAAAAUGGAGCUUGAAGACCUCAUAUUUGGUACAGAAAAGCCACCACACCUUUCCUACCUAUUGGUUAGUGGCUUAGUAAAAGAUGAGUAUAACUUCAGCACUAGGAAGCCAUCAGAUGGAAGAUUAUACUAAAGAUGAAGGAUCAGCACAGAACAUGCUCUGAUGGUAUAUGACUAAACAUUUAACUAAUGCCAAAAGUUUUAUUAAUUUCUUGAGGACAAAGCAUUUAAAACACUUCAGAGUAUCACAAGUUUUGAGGAAAUCCAUCGUCCUUCAGUAGAUUAUGGACUAUUCCAUUGAUGCUGAAAUGUUGAAAUAAGAUGCACUGUCAGAAUUACAGCAGGGAUUACAGAGCUUCCUUCUCCGGGCUCUCACAGGCUCCUUCACAGCAGGCAUUUUUGGAAAUGCUCUGUUAAUUAAAAUGCCUUAUUUAUAUACUAAUUUUCAUCCUAUCUUCCAAAUGUGAAAGGGAAUUAAAUAUGAAAUGGCUAAUUUUAAAUGUCAGGGUUCUUUUUUUCCAAGCCAACCUUACAUUAAGAACAGGAAUCCCUGUGCCAAAGAAAUGGUUCCCAAUUAUCCUAUCCUGGGUUUUGUUAUACAUUGUACAGAAGUCAACAAAACAAGUAUGUAACAGAACCUGCCUAAAUAACAGCCACCCUCAUUAAAAUCAGAAUUAAUCAGGGGGCGAUUGAAGGAAGCAAUGCUUCGUAGGUUCCCCCUUUUUCUUCUUUUCUAAUCAUAGAACAAAAUAUGUUACAUAAAAGGAUUGGAACUAUUAUGCAGUACUCAAUUAGAGGGAGGUGAAUAGGUCUCUAACAUGCUGUUUUAUCAAAAGAGCAGACUGGUGUUUGCAUGACUGUUGUUUCAUUACAGACCCUGUCAUUAAUUCCAUGUGUCAAUACUGCCCUGUAGUACACAGAGCAGACAAGAAAGAAGAGCCCUUGAAAACAAGGGAAUGAUUUUUGAGUCGUUAUCAAGCUAAGUGGCAAGCGGGAAGCUGAAACUCGUAUAGUUGAACAUUCUUGGAGGCUUAUCUCUUCCCUGGCCAGAUGCCUGAUCAGAUGAGAAGCCCGCCAUGAUACUGUCACAGUGCCUAGAAUGGGCUCUUUAUCCAGUAGACAUCACUGUACUUUUUGAUGAUAACGAGGGCAGUCUUAACUUGUGUUAAGGCCUGUGUAUAGCAUUGAAGAGAGGAGUUGCUUAAACCAAUGGGACUAAAACCUGAUGGGACAAUAACGCCUUUGGAGGAAGCACUCAACCAGUACUCUGUCAUCGAGGAGACCAGCUCUGACACAGACUGAAAGCGUCACCUGCUCACCUCUCCAUAUUGCUUUUAUCAGCAUCUUUUCUCUGUAGCUCCAGGGGAAUCUUUUCUCUAAAACAUUUAUGCCCUUGCUUUGGCUAGAAACACAUUAACUGGUUUACUCAUUGAGAAUCCAGCGUAUUUAAGAAGUGAUCCUGUGUUUUUGCGAUAUUGAGGCAUUCAUACAGAGCUGCAGUUAGAUGGAGUUGCAGGGACUAGGAACAGGAAAAAAAAAUUCCAUUCUGUCAAGAUGGAGCUGAAGGACUUCACUCUAUAAAGCAGCCCUGGUUGAAUCUGGCAGUUCUGUUUGCCAAGAUUCUUAACAGAAGAUUUAGCUGUGUCCUUCCUCACACUUGUGUGAGCUGCCCUUUCUGAAUCUCUCCAGAGAUGGAGGCACGUGAGAAGCAGAAUGCGCUGCUGAAAGGGGCUGAGGCGAGUGACCCUUUAGAUCAGGACUGAGUGAAUGGAAGCCAAGCAGCUGCUCCGUAGGCCUAGCCCCACUCUUCACUUUGUUUCAAUUUUGUAUAAAUCCAUAGAGACACACACGCGCGCGCGCACGCACACACACACACGCACACACACACAGCCCCAGACUUGCAAACUGAUUACAUUCAAAAAAGUUUGUCAGUUAUCUAGAACUUCAGAAUACAUUUCUCCCUAUAAAGUUACAAAGGAUGGUUUAGUUCUGAGGCAGCUACCAAUGCCUAUUUAUUCCCUAAUAACCUGAACACUAGUACCAUAGAACUGAACCCCCAUCUGUAUUGCUGCAUGGGGAGCAUGCAUUCUGAGGUCUAACAUAGGGGUGCCAGGAAAACACACCCUCCAACCCGGAAGAGGGGAUGGGGAUCCCUGGGUACUGGGAGUUCUUUUGCGGCCUCUGCUGAGGGUGGAGGAGACGGCAGCACCCAUUUGUACAUAUAGGUCAUUCGUAUGUCACAUGUUUUAAGUUGGGGACUGUGUGUGCUUGUGUGUGUUCUACCUUCCUACCAUAUGUGAUCAGUUUAAUGGUAACUUUAUUUAUUUAAAAAAGAAACACAGAUAGUUACUGUUAAACUGAUUAAGGCUGUUUUUACUUUGGUAAAACAGAUUGGUCAUAUGAAAAAGUAGAAAAUGAAUCAUGCAAUAGACAGUGGGCCUAGUUAAUCAAUGGCUAAAGUUGAAAAGGGGUUGGUUUCCUCUUAUAUAUAUAUAUAUGUAUGUAUGUAUAUACAUAUAUAUAUAUACACAUAAUGUGCUUAACCACUGCCUUUUAAAACUUUAAAUUAAAUAAAACAUUGGGGUUGAUUCAAUUUAGCCAUUUGUGUGUGUUUCUUUAUAAACAAUACUAUUUAUUGUUUAUUGGGGUAAACAAUACUAUUUCACAGUUUGUUCUUUUUUAAAGUGCUUUUACAUCUAUUAUCUCAGUUGUAAUAAAUAGUUUUUCUAAGGAUAAAGUACACAGAGUAUUAGUGAAAUGUCAUUUAUCCAGAAGUCACUUCUCUGGCAAAAAGUACAAAUCAGGAAUUCAGUUUUAAAAGGCCUUUGAGCUGCCAAAAGAGAUGUCAAAGUUUCUUACAAUUUAUUUCUACGUGAGAGCCUCAAGAAUCUAUCUCACUCUUUGCCUCUUUACUAAAAUUUGCAUAUAUUUCUAACAUGUUUAGUUAUCUUGACUUUCACGUCCACCAAAAAAGAAAAAUGUCAAAGGAGGAGGCUGUUGGAUGGAAGGCAGACCUACUGAAAGCAGAAAAAAUCCAACUGAAAACUGGAUAGGAAUGUGGGGAGAAUGAGAACUACUUGAGGCAUCCUAAGUCUGGGACCAUCUGUUUCCCAAAGGACAUUCCAGUUGACCCAGAAAGUAUCCAUACAAUAGUAUGGCCUGUAAACUAAUUCUCAUGAUGAUGACCUUGUGUUUCUUUUUUAAAAAAAGUUAAAUCCAGAAUACUCUAUAAAAAGACCAGAAAGAACACAAUACAUUUUAGGAUUUUCAUCCAAAAUAACGGGAAUGGAAGUUAUGGGCGACCCAUGUUUUAACAGUAAAUAAAGUGAAACUUGGUAAUUCAUAAUUUUAGAUUAAGUGAAAAAAAGUUUAGAGAAAAAGAAUUUUAAGUAUUUUUGUUACUUCAUUCUACAAAUGCAUUUUUAAGAUAUUUUUAUAAUUUCUGCAAUCAAAUAGCUUUGGCAUGAGUGUCGCUUACCUAAGAUGAAAUACCAUCUGGCCAGCUUUAUGCAGAGUUAGUGUGUGAACAGUCUUGUUUAAGUUGCUGUGCUCCUCUGUUUUCAGUGAGUUCUGUUUCAUUUUGGAUUUCUCUGUGCUGGGCACUAGGCUUUGUUUUGAAGAGAGAAUUUGCAGAGGGAGAAGAUGAAAGUGACUUCAUCUUGCACAUGGAAAGAGAACCAACAUCUGUCGCUUGCUUGCUCUGUGCUGGGCUUUUUAUGUAUCUUUAUCUUGUGUAUCCUCAUCACAUCUCAUGUUAGAGAUCAUCUCUGGAAAGCACAGUAAGUUACCCAACAUCACACAGCAAGUUAGACUCCAGGUCGGGCUGGCCUGACCCCCCCGCACCUCACCUUCCCCUUUACAUUGCCCACGGGGUCCUCCUGGUGCCUCCCUAUGACUCUGGAAUGCUGGGAGACUGGUAAUUCUCGGGCCAUUUUAAGCAAUAACUAUUUCAGCAUAACUGGUUUAAAGAACUUAUUAAGUAGGGAGGUGACCCAAAUGACGUUGAAGUAUGAGCAGGAAACUUGCUCAGUUAGUACUGAAUUUCAGAUAAGGGCGUGGAAUCCUUUAGGUCAGAAAUUAGGGCUGCAGGCUCCCCAACACCGCCCCCCUGCCCUGACCCUCGACAUGUCCUGGCUCAGUGACCUGCAAUGGGGGUGGUGAGAAUACACUGGCCAGCUUCGCUCUGCAGGCCCCUGUGUCCACAUCCCUCCCAAUCUUUAAAAACAGGGUAUGGGGAAGAAAAUGGCAACCCACUCCAGUAUUCUUGCCUGGAAAAUCCCACGGACGGAGGAGCCUGGUAGGCUACAGUCCACGGCGUCGCAAAGAGUCGGACACGACUGAGCGACUUCACUAUGGAGAAGAAAGUUCGAACAUAAGGCGCUUGAGCUGCUGCUUUAGAGUAACAAUCAGCAAAUACCUGAGGCCCUUUCAAGCCCCUUUCACACACCCACUGGUCCUGAGAGGUGGACAGGAUGGACCUUACUGUCCCUCCUUUAUAAACAAAGAUGUGGGCAGAGGUGGUAUAAGUAUGCAACCUCCCCUUCACAACCAUCAGUCUUGCUGCCUCCCAGUACUAGAUGUCUCUUAUGUUGACUUCCCUUCCCCUUUGGAUUUUAAAAAUAAAUGUUUCAUCGUGGAAAGUCUGGAGAAUACAGAAAAUACUAAAGUUAAUCAUUCACCCCACAACCCACCACCUGAGAUAGUCUCUGUUAAUGUUUCAGUGUAUUUCCGUCCUGUGUUUUUUCUAUGCGUAUAUAAUUUAUUUUACUACUAGAUUGGGAUCAUGCUGUAUUUACAGAUUUGUAUCCUGCUUUCUUCUUUAACAUACUGUAAGCAU
Molecule: RNA transcript, 9864 nt
Organism: Dama dama (fallow deer)
Lineage: Eukaryota; Metazoa; Chordata; Mammalia; Artiodactyla; Cervidae
Gene: RIC8B
Gene name: RIC8 guanine nucleotide exchange factor B
Exons: 12
Source: RefSeq, a predicted model, not a curated record